RNAcentral lists this transfer RNA (72 nucleotides) under Heterocephalus glaber (naked mole-rat). It matches the Rfam family "tRNA". From Rfam's summary of the family: Transfer RNA (tRNA) molecules are approximately 80 nucleotides in length. The record is from Rfam by way of RNAcentral. Lineage: Eukaryota; Metazoa; Chordata; Mammalia; Rodentia; Bathyergidae.
UGUGGUGUAGCUCAGUGGCAGGGCGCUUGCCUAGCAUGCUUGAAGCUCUGGGUUCCAAACCCAGCACCAAAA